CAUUAAGAAGCUUACAACAAGCAAUAGCCUUUUAAGCUAU
RNAcentral lists this transfer RNA (40 nucleotides) under Andrias davidianus (Chinese giant salamander). RNAcentral's name for it is "partial tRNA-Lys". Lineage: Eukaryota; Metazoa; Chordata; Amphibia; Caudata; Cryptobranchidae. The record is from RNAcentral.